This 468-nucleotide ribosomal RNA is filed under the name uncultured bacterium. RNAcentral's name for it is "partial 16S ribosomal RNA". It matches the Rfam family "Bacterial small subunit ribosomal RNA", at positions 28 to 507 of the family's 1533-position model. The record is from RNAcentral.
GACGAACGCUGGCGGCGUGCUUAACACAUGCAAGUCGAACGGAAAGGCCCUGCUUUUGUGGGGUGCUCGAGUGGCGAAAGGGUGAGUAACACGUGAGUAACCUGCCCUUGACUUUGGGAUAACUUCAGGAAACUGGGGCUAAUACGGGAUAGGAGCUCCUGCUGCAUGGUGUGGGUUGGAAAGUUUCGGCGGUUGGGGAUGGACUCGCGGCUUAUCAGCUUGUUGGUGGGGUAGUGGCUUACCAAGGCUCUGACGGGUAGCCGGCCUGAGAGGGUGACCGGCCACAUUGGGACUGAGAUACGGCCCAGACUCCUACGGGAGGCAGCAGUGGGGAAUAUUGCACAAUGGGCGGAAGCCUGAUGCAGCAACGCCGCGUGCGGGAUGACGGCCUUCGGGUUGUAAACCGCUUUCGCCUGUGACGAAGCGUGAGUGACGGUAAUGGGUAAAGAAGCACCGGCUAACUACGUG